This 325-nucleotide unclassified non-coding RNA is filed under the name fungal sp. RNAcentral's name for it is "partial internal transcribed spacer region". The stretch from base 1 to 44 matches the Rfam family "Eukaryotic small subunit ribosomal RNA", at positions 1788 to 1831 of the family's 1831-position model. Lineage: Eukaryota; Fungi. The record is from RNAcentral.
GUCGUAACAAGGUUUCCGUAGGUGAACCUGCGGAAGGAUCAUUACCACACCUCAUUAAUGCCUUUUACAAUAUUGAUAUGCAAAUAUUAAUUGCGUAAAAUGGUAUGUCCCGUGAACUUUAUUUAUUAUAGUCAUUUCAUUGAUGCAUUUGUUUUCAAUCACUUAUGGGAUUGUUAAUAAUGCGAAAUGACUCAAAACCAUUUUUUUAUCCACACUUUGGUGUGGUUAAAAUUUGUUUGAUUAUGAAAAUUUAUUAGCAUAAUUUCGAUUAUGCAACAAAUAAAUAAUGUCAAAACACUUUCAGCAAUGGAUGUCUUGGCUCCCA